GUAGGUGGCAAGCGUUGUCCGGAAUUAUUGGGCGUAAAACGCGCGCAGGCGGUUCUUUAAGUCUGAUGUGAAAGCCCACGGCUCAACCGUGGAGGGUCAUUGGAAACUGGAGAACUUGAGUACAGAAGAGGAAAGCGGAAUUCCACGUGUAGCGGUGAAAUGCGUAGAGAUGUGGAGGAACACCAGUGGCGAAGGCGGCUUUCUGGUCUGUAACUGACGCUGAGGCGCGAAAGCGUGGGGAGCAAACAGGGAUUAGAUACCCUGGUAGUCCACGCCGUAAACGAUGAGUGCUAAGUGUUAGGGGGGUUUCCGCCCCCUUAGUGCUGCAGCUAACGCAUUAAGCACUCCGCCUGGGGAUACGGCCGCAAGGCUG
This 373-nucleotide ribosomal RNA is filed under the name uncultured organism. RNAcentral describes it as "partial 16S ribosomal RNA". It matches the Rfam family "Bacterial small subunit ribosomal RNA", at positions 527 to 896 of the family's 1533-position model. The record is from RNAcentral.